RNAcentral lists this ribosomal RNA (119 nucleotides) under Pteropus alecto (black flying fox). Lineage: Eukaryota; Metazoa; Chordata; Mammalia; Chiroptera; Pteropodidae. The record is from RNAcentral.
GUCUAUAGCCAUGCCACCCUAAAUGUGCCCGAUCUCGUCUGAUCUCGGAAGUUAAGCAGGGUUGGGCCUGGUUAGUAUUUGGAUGAGAGACCACUUAGGAAUAUCAGGUGCUGUAGGCA